UGAUUUGUUUCUGCUAGACGUGUGUUGUUUAUAUAUUUUUUCCCAAGAAAUACAUUUGAAAGAUCUAUCCUUUAUUUGCAUCUAUUUCAAUUGUAAGUUGUUGCUAUUAGUUUAACUUUGUGUCAGCGAAAAAAACUUAGAUAUAGUGUGCAGUUUUUCAGCAUUCAAUGAAACUGUAAAUAUUAUUUUUUGUUAUAACAAGAUCAAAAAUUGCUCGAAAUAAGAAUGUCAACAUACAAAGGCAUUACAUAGAUUUCAAAAGACUAAGGACAUCGACUGGAUGAUAGAGUAAUGGGAUGGCGUACUAGAUAUGUCACAAUUCACCCGAACAACUUCAAACUAAAAGAGCUUAAUAUAAAAAAAUGAUGCCUUUUAUAUCAUUCAAAAAACUUAGUACCUACUCAACCUGAAAAAAUGAAAUGCCCUUAAAAUAAUUGAUCCUUAAUCAGUUUCUGAGAAAGGUCAGGAAAGUAUAUUAUUUUCUUCGUUCUCAAACACAUUCCUAUAUAAACAAACUUAUUUCUGUGAACCAUCUAUAGCUUUAACAAAAUAAUCUUUGCAUGUUUCCUUUAUUCACAAGAACAAUAUAUAUGAUUCUCUAGACUAGACAGUAAUAUUAUCUCUCUGUCUUAUAUGUGUUGUACGUAUUUAUAGCAUUUCGACAUCACAUCUUCUUUUGUGACACAACAAAUAUUUUGAAAUUUCACUUUUUCCUAUUUGAAUGGGACCUUAUCCACUUUACUAGAGUUGUACGUUGUCGUUUCAAGUAGAAAAAUCAAAAUAAAUUAAUACACCUCCAAGGAAUGAAGAAUGUUCACCAAAUAUGAGCAGCCCCCAUUGUGAAAGACGAAGAACCAGAGCAUUUUCCUCGACAACUUAGUUGAAUAUUCCUCAGAAAUCUUAUUACACUUCUUUGUUGCUGUCAAAUUUGUUAGUUUAAGGAGAUACUACUGCUUCAUGCCUCUGUAAUUUCUAAAAAGGAGAAAGUCAUCUAUCGUUUUAAGUACCUUCUUAGGCUUUUUAUAUUUAAGGGUCUAAGAGGCAAUACAUUGAGCAGAUCAAACUGUUAAGCUUCCCACUAGACGUAAAUAAUCGAAUCAACACCAACCAAUAUAUGAGUUAUAUGAGUGUUUUCUCUGAACAGUAAUCCCCAGAUCAGAAUUGAAAGGACAUACCAGCCUUCGAAGGAUUAUUAGACAUUCCUUCAUGUCAGGAGGAGGAUAAGGAAAAUAUUAUUUAAUAGUCAACUUCUUAAUGUUCAUUUUACAUGGUCUUUCUACAAGUAUAUACUUGACGCUAAAUUGACAUAUCAUGGUAUCCAUAUUAUGAAUUUGCCGCUUGAGGUGCAGUUUUUUUGUGUGUAUGUGUGUGAUUAUGGGCAUUGUGAUUAAACAUUUGUUCUGCUCAUAUUUCUUUUUAUGUAUGAGAGGAUAUAAAUGUUAUUUAGACCUACAUCCAGUGUUAAUGCUAAUGAAGAAUAGUUGAUACAUUUUGAACGCAAUGAGGUAUCAGUUCUUCAGCGACAAUUCAAAUUUUAGUAUUUUUGUUACUGAGGUUAUAAUUGCAAUUUGUUUUAUGAAAGUAAUUGAUUAUGGACUAAUCCUGAAGCAAAUAAGCAACAGAAUGUCACUUGGUUGCUGAGAAUUAGGUGAUAACUGUUAGCCACUCUCUGUUAAAUGUAUUUUUUAAAGGAUUCAGCGAGGAUCUAAUCUUUAUUUUUCUCGACAAGGAACUUAAGUUGGUAAUUAGCAAUUGUCCAGAUAUCGAUCAGAUUUUUCAUUAUAAUCUUAUUUGUUAAUUCAUGUGGUAAUCCUAUCUUUGAUAGUUUUCCGUCAAUAUAAAGAAAGAGAUGUUUCUUGUGUUCAAUCUUUUCCUUGCUUUGUAGUUGAUGACUUGAGGCAAAUACAAAAUCUUCUGCAUAUAGUGCAAUAUCAUCUAUUAUUAAUUUGUUCGAAAAAAUUGUUUCAGAUUUAAGCAAGAAAAAUAAAGUUUGUCUUCUCCAUUUUAUCUCCAAGACCUCGAAGGUGUCGUUUGAAAGGGUUUAUUCACUGCAAGAAAUUUCAAGCUCCAAGAAACUUUAGACCCACAAUAAUUACACCACUCCUGAUCAAUUACCUACAACACAAAUGUGAUAAUUAUUUUAUCAUCUGGAAUUAGACUAUGAUUGAACUCUUGAUGUUGAAGAUUUCUACCAAUGAAAGAUAUGUUCUGAGAUGGUAGACGAGGAAACAAAAAGAAAAUAAGUACUUUAUGAACAUGAUCUGUACACUAGACAUAGUCCUAUAAUCAUUUAUCUUAGUUGAAACAUAUGUAUUAUGUAUUUAUAUCAAGCAUGUUCUAACAGAGGAUGGUUGCGGUUAAGACUUGAGAGAUUGAAUUGAUAAUAUGGAGUCUCAAGAGUCUUUUUGAGAAUUAAGAGCUAACUAAUAGCAUUUU
Solanum tuberosum (potato) is the source of this 2436-nucleotide long non-coding RNA. RefSeq lists it as uncharacterized. The transcript has 3 exons. NCBI's taxonomy places the organism in Eukaryota, Viridiplantae, Streptophyta, Magnoliopsida, Solanales, Solanaceae. The record is from RefSeq and is a predicted model, not a curated record.